Molecule: long non-coding RNA, 26615 nt
Filed under: Citrus x clementina
Lineage: Eukaryota; Viridiplantae; Streptophyta; Magnoliopsida; Sapindales; Rutaceae
Description: Citrus clementina (C. clementina) long non-coding RNA (CCLE_LNC003158)
Source: RNAcentral
CGCCAAGUUCGUCCAACGGAAAAAGGCCACAAAAACGGGUGGGCUAUAGCCUUGGGUGGUGGGGCUGGCCAACUUCGUCCGCCGGACUCGGAAUGCCACGAGUCUUUACGAGGGGCCUCCGUGUGCCAAAAAUAGGCCGCGGCCAAAGCUGCGCCCAAAAAUAACCGCCCGAAGGCCGGGGCGCAAAGUUCGUCCAGCGGAAAAAGGCCACAAACACGGGUGGACUAUAGCCUUGGGGGGUGGGGCUGGCCCACUUCGUCCGCCGGACUCGGAAUGGUGCCAGAGUUUGCGAGGCGCCCCCGUGUGCCAGAAAUAGGCCACGGGCGCAGCAGCACCCAAAAAUAACCGCCCGAAGGCCGGGUUGCCAAGCUCGUCCAGCAGUAAAAGGCCACAAAAAUGGGCGGGCUAUAGCCUUGGGCGGUGGGGCUGGCCAACUUCGUCCGCCGGACUCGGAAUGCCGCGAGACUUUGCGAGGGGCCUCCGUGUGCCAAAAAUAGGCUGUGGGCAAUGCCGUAUCCAAAAAUAACCUCCCGAAGGCCGGGGCGCCAAGUUCAUCCAGCGGAAAAAGGGGACAAAAACGGGUGGACUAUAGCCUUGGGGGGUGGGGCUCGCCAACUUCGUCCAGCGGAAAAAGCCCACAAAAACGGGUGGGUUAUAGGCUUGGGGGGUGGGGCUCGCCAACUUCGUCCGCCGGACUCGGAAUGGCGCGAGGCUUUGCGAGGCGCCUCCGUGUGCCAAAAAUAGGCCGCGGGCACAGCCGCUCCCAGAAAUAACUGCCCAAAGGCCGGGGCGCCAAGUUCAUCCAGCGGAAAAAGGCCACAAAAACGGGUGGGCUAUAGCCUUGGGGGGUGGGGCUGGCCAACUUCGUCCGCCGGACUAGGAAUUCCGCGAGACUUUGCGAGGGGCCUCCGUGUGCCAAAAAUAGGCCGCGGGCACAGCCGCGCCCAAAAAUAACCGCCAGAAGGCCGGGGCGCCAAGUUCGUCCAGCGGAAAAAGGCUACAAAAACUGGUGGGCUAUAGCCUUGGGGGGUGGGGCUGGCCAACUUCGUCCGCCAGACUCGGAAUGGCGCGAGACUUUGCGAGGCACCUCCGUGUGCCAAAAAUUGGCCGCGGGCACAGCCGCGCCCAAAAAUAACCGCCCGAAUGCCGGGGCGCCAAGUUCGUCCAGCGGAAAAAGACCCCAAAAACGGGUGGGCUAUAGCCUUGGGGGGUGGGGCUGGCCAACUUCGUCCGCCGGACUCGGAAUGGUGCCAGAGUUUGCGAGGCGCCCCCGUGUGCCAGAAAUAGGCCACGGGCGCAGCAGCACCCAAAAAUAACCGCCCGAAGGCCGGGUUGCCAAGUUCGUCCAGCGGUAAAAGGCCACAAAAACGGGCGGGCUAUAGCCUUGGGGGGUGGGGCUGGCCAACUUCAUCCGCUGGACUCGGAAUGGCGUGAAAUUUUGCGAGGUGCGUCCGUGUGCCAAAAAUAGNNNNNNNNNNNNNNNNNNNNNNNNNNNNNNNNNNNNNNNNNNNNNNNNNNNNNNNNNNNNNNNNNNNNNNNNNNNNNNNNNNNNNNNNNNNNNNNNNNNNNNNNNNNNNNNNNNNNNNNNNNNNNNNNNNNNNNNNNNNNNNNNNNNNNNNNNNNNNNNNNNNNNNNNNNNNNNNNNNNNNNNNNNNNGAACAGCCGUACCCAAAAAUACCCGCCCGGAGGCCGGGGCGCCAAGUUCGUCCAGCGGAAAAAGGCCACAAAAACGGGUGGGCUAUAGCAUUGGGGGGUGGGGCUGGCCAACUUUGUCCGCCGGACUUGGAUUGGCGCGAUACUUUACGAGGUGACUCCGUGUUCCAAAAAUAGGCCGCGGGCACAGCCGUGCCCAAAAAUAACUGCCCGAAGGCCGGGGCGCCAAGUACGUCCAGCGGAAAAAGGCCCCAAAAACGGGUGGGCUAUAGCCUUGGGGGGAGGGGCUGGCCAACUUCAUCCGCUGGACUCGGAAUGGCGUGAAAUUUUGCGAGGCGCCUCCGUGUGCCAAGAAUAGGCCGCGGGCUCAGCCGCACUAAAAAAUAACCACCCGAAGGCCGGGGCUCCAUGUUCGUCCAACGGAAAAAGGCCACAAAAACGGGUGGGCUAUAGCCUUGGGGGUGGGGCUGGCCAACUUCGUCCGCCGGACUCGGAAUGGCGCGAGAUUUGUGAGGCGCGUCCGUGUGCCAAAAAUAGGCUGCGGGCACAGCUGUGCCCAAAAAUAACAACCCGAAGGCCGGGCCGCCAUGUUCUUCCAGCGGAAAAAGCCCACAAAAACGGGUGGGCUAUAGCCUUGGGGGGUGGGGCCGGCCCACUUCGUCCGCCGGACUCGGAUUGGCGCGAUACUUUGCGAGGCGACUCCGUGUACCAAAAAUAGGCCGCGGGAAGAGCCGCGCCCAAAAUUAACCGCCCGAAGGCCGGGCCGCCAAGUUCGUCCUGCGGAAAAAGGCCACAAAAACGGGUGGGCUAUAGCCUUGGGGGUGGGGCUGGCCAACUUCGUCCGCCGGACUCGGAUUGGCGCGAUACUUUGCGAGGCGACUCCGUGUGCCAAAACUAGGCCGCGGGCAGAGCCGCGCCCAAAAAUAACCGCCCGAAGGCCGGGGCGCCAAGUUCGUCCAGCGGAAAAAGGCCCCAAAAACGGGUGGGCUAUAGCCUUGGGGGGUGGGGCUAGCCUAUUUCAUCCGCUGGACUCGGAAUGGCGUGAAAUUUUGCGAGGCAGCUCCGUGUGCCAAGAAUAGGCCGCGGUCUCAGCCGCGCUCAAAAAUAACCACCCGAAGGCCGGGGCUCCAUGUUCGUCCAACGGAAAAAGGCCACAAAAACGGGUGGGCUAUAGCCUUGGGGGUGGGGCUGGCCGACUUCGUCCGCCGGACUCGGAAUGGCGCGAGAAUUUGCAAGGUGCCUUCGUGUGCCAAAAAUAGGGCGCGGGCUCAUCCGCGCCCAAAAAUAACUGCCCGAAGGCCGGGGCGCCAAGUUCGUCCAGCGGAAAAAGGCCACAAAAACGGGUGGGCUAUAGCCUUGGGGGGUGGGGCUGGCCAACGUCAUCCGCCGGACUCGGAAUGGCGCGAGACUUUGUGAGGCGCCUCCCUGUGCCAAAAAUAGGCCGCAGGCACAGUCGCGCCCAAAAAUAACUGCCCGAAGGCCGGGGUGCCAAGUUCGUCCAGCGGAAAAAGGCCCCAAAAACGGGUGGGCUAUAGCCUUGGGGGGUGGGGCUGGCCAACUUUGUCCGCCGGACUCGGAAUGCCGCGAGACUUUGCGAGGCUCCUCCGUGUGCCAAAAUAGGCCCCGGGCACAGCCACACCCAAAAAUAACCGCCCGAAGGCGGGGGUGCCAAGUUCGUCCAGCAGAAAAAGGCCACAAAAACGGGUGGGCUAUAGCCUUGGGCGGUGGGGCUGGCCCACUUCGUCCGCCAGACUCGGAAUGGCACGAGACUUUGUGAGGCACCUCCGUGUGCCAAAAAUUGGCCGCGGGCUAAGCCGCGCCCAAAAAUAACCGCCCGAAGAACGGGGCGCCAAGUUCGUCCAGCGGAAAAAGCCCACAAAAACGGGUGGACUAUAGCCUUGGGGGGUGGGGCUGGCAAACUUAGUCCGCCGGACUCGGAAUGGCGCGAGACUUUGCGAGGUGCGUCCAUGUGCCAACAAUAGGCCGCGGGCACAGCAGCGCCCAAAAAUAACUACGCGAAGCCCGGGACGCCAUGUUCGUCCAGCGGAAAAAGGCCAUAAAAACGGGUGGGCUGUAGCCGUGGGGGGUGGGGCUGGCCAACUUCGUCCGCCGGACUCGGAAUGGUACGAGACUUGCGAGGCCCCUCCGUGUGCCAAAAAUAGGCCGCGGGCACAGCAGCGCCCAAAAAUAACCGCCCGAAGGCCGGGGCGCCAAGUUCGUCCAGCGAAAAAAGGCCCCAAAAACGGGUGGGCUAUAGCCUUGGGGGGUGGGGCUGGCCAACUUCAUCCGCUGGACUCGGAAUGGCUCGAAACUUUGAGAGGUACCUCCAUGUACAAAAAAUAGGCCACGGGCACAGCCGCGCCCAAAAAUAACCGCCUGAAGGCCGGGGCACCAAGUUCAUCCAGCGGAAAAAGCCCACAAAAACGGGAGGGCUACAGCCUUGGGGGGUGGGGCUGGCCGACUUCGUCCGCCGGACUCGGAAUGGUGCGAGACUUUACGAGGCACCUCCGUUCGCCAAAAAUAGGCCGCGCGCACAGCCGAACCCAAAAAUAACCAACCGAAGGCCGGGGCGCCAAGUUCGUCCAGCGGAAAAAGCCCACAAAAACGGGUGGGCUAUAGCCUUGGGGGUUGGGGCUGGCCAGCUUCGUAAGCCGGACUCGGAAUGGUGCGAGACUUUGCGAGGAGCCUCCGAGUGCCAAAAAUAGGCCGUGGACACAGCCGAACCCAAAAAAAACCACCCGAAGGCUGGGGCGCCAAGUUCGUCCAGCGGAAAAAAGCCACAAAAACGGGUGGGCUAUAGCCUUGGGGCGUGGGGCUGGCCAACUUCGUCCGCCGGACUCGGAAUGGCGUGAGACUUUGCGAGGCACCUCUGUGUGCCAAAAAAUGGCCGCGGGCACAGUCGCGCCAAAAAAUAACCGCCCGAAGGCCGGGGCGCAAAGUUCGUCCAGCGGAAAAAGGCCACAAAAACGGGUGGGCUAUAGCCUUGGGGGGUGGGGCUCGCCAACUUCGUCCGCCGGACUCGGAGUGGCGCGAGACUUUGCGAGGCGCCUCCAUGUGCCAAAAAUAGGCUGUGGUCACAGCCGCGCCGAAAAAUAACGGCCUGAAGGCCAGGGCGCCAAGUUCGUCCAGCCGAAAAAGGCCACAAAAACGGGUGGGCUAUAGCCUUGGGGGGCGGGGCUGGCCAACUUCGUCCGCCGGACUCGGAAUGGCGUGAGACUUUACGAGGUGCCUCCGUGUGCCAAAAAAGGCUGAGGGCACAGCCGUGUUAAAAAAUAACCGCCCGAAGGCUGGGGCGCCAAGUUCGUCCAGCGGAAAAAAGCCACAAAAACGGGUGGGCUAUAGCCUUGGGGGGUGGGGCUGGCCAACUUCGUCUGCCGGACUCGGAAUGGCGCGAGACUUUGGGAGGCGCCUCCGUGUACCAAAAAUAGGCUGCGGGCGCAGCCGCACCCAAAAAUAAUCGCCCGAAGGCCGGGGCGCCAAGUUCGUCCAGCGGAAAAAGGCCACAAAAACGGGUGGGCUAUAGCCUUGGGGGGUGGGGCUGGCCAACCUCGUCCGCCAGACUCGGAAUGGCGCGAGACUUUGCGAGGCGCCUUUGAGUGCCAAAAAUAGGCCGCGGGCACAGCCGCACCCAAAAAUAACCUCCCGAAGGCCGGGGCGCAAAGUUUGUCCUGCGGAAGAAGGCCACAAAAACGGGUGGGCUAUAGCCUUGGGCGGUGGGGCUGGCCCACUUCGUCCGCCGGACUCGGAAUGGCGCGAGACUUUGCGAGGCGCCUCCAUGUGCCAAAAAUAGGCUGCGGGCACAGCCGCGCCCAAAAAUAACGGCCUGAAGGCCGGGGUGCCAAGUUUGUCCAGCGGAAAAAGGCCACAAAAACGGGUGGGCUAUAGCCUUGGGGGGUGGGGCUGGCCAAUUUCGUCCGCCGGACGCGGAAUAGCGCGAGACUUUGCGAGGCGCCACCGUGUGCCAAAAAUAGGCCGCGGGCACAGCCGCGCCCAAAAAUAACCACCCGAAGCCCGGGGCGCCAAGUUCGUCCAGCGGAAAAAGGCCACCAAAACGGGUGGGCUAUAGCCUUGGGGGGUGGGGCUGGGCAACUUCGUCCGCCGGACUCGGAAUUGCACGAGACUUUACGAGGUGCCUCCGUGUGCCAAAAAUAGGCCACGGGCACAGCCGCGCCCAAAAAUAACCGCCCGAAGGCCGGGGCGCCAAGUUCGUCCAGCGGAAAAAGCCCACAAAAACGGAUGGGCUAUAGCCUUGGGGGGUCGGGCUGGCCAACUUCGUCCGCCGGACUCGGAAUGGCGCGAGACUUUGCGAGGCACCUCCGUGUGCCAAAAAUAGGAUGAGGACACAGCCGCGCCUAAAAAUAACCGCCCGAAGGCCGGGGCGCCAAGUUCGUCCAGCGGAAAAAGGCCCAAAAAACGGGUGGGCUAUAGCCUUGGGGGGUGGGGCUGGCCAACUUCGUCCGCCGGACUCGGAAUGGCGCGAGACUUUGCGAGGUGCCUCCGUGUGCCAAAAAUAGGCCGCGGGCACAGCUGCGCCCAAAAAUAACUGCCCGAAGGCCGGGGCGGCAAGUUCGUCCAGCGGCAAAAGGCCACAAAAACGGGUGGGCUAUAGCCUUCGGGGGUGGGGCUCGCCAACUUCGUCCGCCGGACUCGGAAUGGCGCGAGACUUUGCGAGGUGCCUCCGCGUGCCAAAAAUAGGCCGCAGGCACAGCUACGCCCAAAAAUAACCACCCGAAGGCCGGGGCGGCAAGUUCGUCCAGCGGAAAAAGGCCACAAAAACGGGUGGGCUAUAGCCUUCGAGGGUGGGGCUGGCUAACUUCGUCCGCCGGACUCGGAAUGGCGCGAGACUUUGCGAGGCACCUCCGUGUGCAAAAAAUAACCCGCGGGCACAGGCGCCCCCAAAAAUAACCGCCCGAAGGCCGGGGCGCCAAGUUCGUGCAGCGGAAAAAGGCCCAAAAAACGGGUGGGCUAUAGCCUUGGGGGGUGGGGCUGGCCCACUUCGUCCGCCGGACUCGGAAUGGCGCGAGACUUUCGAGGCACCUCUGUGUGCUAAAAAUAGGCCACGGGCACAGCCGCGCCCAAAAAUAACUGCCCGAAGGCCGUGGCGCCAAGUUCGUCCAGCGGAAAAAGGCCACAAAAACGGGUGGGCUAUAUCCUUAGGGGGUGGGGCUGGCCAACUUCGUCCGCCGGACUCGGAAUGGCGCGAGACUUUGCGAGGCGCCUCCGUGUGCCAAAAAUAGGCCGCGGGCACAGCCGCGCCCAAAAAUAACCGCCCGAAGGCCGGGGCGCCAAGUUCGUCCAGCGGAAAAAGGCCACAAAAACGGGUGGGCUAUAGCCUUGGGGGGUGGGGCUGGCCCACUUCGUCCGCCGGACUCGGAAUGGCGCGAGACUUUGCUAGGCGCCUCCGUGUGCCAAAAAUAGGCUGCGGGCACAGCUGCGCCCAAAAAUAACCGCCCGAAGGCUGGGGCGCCAAGUUCGUCCAGCGGAAAAAGGCCACAAAAACGGGUGGGCUAUAGCCUUCGGGGGUGGGGCUGGCCGACUUCGUCCGCCGGACUGGGAAUGGCACGAGACUUUGCAAGGUACCUCCGUGUGCAAAAAAUACCCCGCGGGCACAGCUGCCCCCAAAAAUAACCCCCCGAAGGCCGUGGCGCCAAGUUCGUCCAGCGGAAAAAGGCCCAAAAAACGGGUGGGCUAUAGCCUUGGGGGGUGGGGCUGGCCAACUUCGUCCGCCGGACUCGGAAUGGCGCGAGACUUCGCAAGGCACCUCCGUGUGCUAAAAAUAGGCCAUGGGCACAGCCGCGCCCAAAAAUAACUGCCCGAAGCCAGGGGCGCCAAGUUCGUCCAGCCGAAAAAGACCACAAAAACGGGUGGGCUAUAUCCUUCGGGGGUCGGGCUGGCCAACUUCGUCCGCCGGACUCGGAAUGGCGCGAGACUUUGCGAGGCGCCUCCGUGUGCCAAAAAUAGGCCGCGGGCACAGCUGCGCCAAAAAAUAACCGCCCGAAGGCCGGGGCGCCAAGUUCGUCCAGCGGAAAAAGGCCACAAAAACGUGUGGGCUAUAACCUUGGGGGGUGGGGCUGGCCAACUUAGUCCGCCGGACUCGGAAUGGUGCGAGACUUUGCGAGGCGCCUCCGUGUACCAAAAAUAGGCCGCGGGCACAGCCGCGCCCAAAAAUAACCGCCCGAAGCCUGGGGCGCCAAGUUCGUCCAGCGGAAAAAGACCACAAAAACGGGUGGGCUAUAUCCUUCGGGGGUGGGGCUGGCCAACUUCGUCCGCCGGACUCGGAAUGGCGCGAGACUUUGCGAGGCACCUCCAUGUGCUAAAAAUAGGCCACGGGCACAGCCGCGCCCAAAAAUAACUGCCCGAACCCCGGGGCGCCAAGUUCGUCCAGCCGAAAAAGACCACAAAAACGGGUGGGCUAUAUCCUUCGGGGGUCGGGCUGGCCAACUUUGUCCGCCAGACUCGGAAUGCGCGAGACUUUACGAGGUGCCUCCGCGUGCCAAAAAUAGGCCGCGGGCACAUCCGCGCCCAAAAAUAACCGCCCGAAGGCCGGGGCGCCAAGUUCGUCCAGCGGAAAAAGGCCACAAAAACGGGUGGGCUAUAGCCUUGGGGGGUGGGGCUGGCCCACAUCGUCCGCCGGACUCGGAAUGGCACGAGACUUUGUGAGGCGCCUCCGUGUGCCAAAAAUAGGCCGCGGGCACAGCCGCGCACAAAAAUAACCGCCCGAAGGCUGGGCCGCCAAGUUCGUCCAGCGGAAAAAGGCCACAAAAACGGGUGGGCUAUAGCCUUGGGGGGUGGGGCUGGCCCACUUCUUCCGCCGGACUCGGAAUGGCGCGAGACUUUGCGAGACGCCUCCGUGUGCCAAAAAUAGGCUGCGGGCACAGCCACGCCCAAAAAUAACCGCCCGAAGGCCGGGGCGCCAAGUUCGUCCAGCGGAAAAAGGCCCCAAAAACAGGUGGGCUAUAGCCUUGGGGGGUGGGGCUGGCCAACUUCGUCCGCCGGACUCGGAAUGGCGCGAGACUUUGCGAGGCGCCUCCGUGUGCUAAAAAUAGGCCGCGGGCGCAGCCGCGACCAAAAAUAACUGCCCGAAGCUCGGGGCGCCAAGUUCGACCAGCCGAAUAAGGCCACAAAAACGGGUGGGCUAUAGCCUUCAGGGGUGGGGCUGGCCUACUUCGUCCGCCGGACUCGGAAUGGCGCGAGACUUUGCGAGGUGCCUCCAUGUACCAAAAAUAGGCCGCGGGCACAGCCGCACCCAAAAAUAACCGCCCGAAGCCCGGGGCGCCAAGUUCGUCCAGCGGAAAAAGACCACAAAAACGUGUGGGCUAUAUCCUUCGGCGGUGGAGCUGGCCAACUUCGUCCGCCGGACUCGGAAUGGCGCGAGACUUUGCGAGGCACCUGCGUGUGCUAAAAAUAGGCCACGGGCACAGCCGAGCCCAAAAAUAACUGCCCGAAGGCCGGGGACACAAGUUCGUCCAGCGGAAAAAGGCCCAAAAAACGGGCGGGCUAUAGCCUUGGGGGGUGGGGCUGGCCCACUUCAUCCGCCGGACUCGGAAUGGCGCGAGACUUUGCGAGACGCCUCCGUGUGCCAAAAAUAGGCUGCGGGCACAGCCGUACCCAAAAAUAACCGCACGAAGGCCGGGGCGUUAAGUUCGUCCAGCGGAAAAAGGCCCAAAAAAUGGGUGGGCUAUAGCCUUGGGGGGUGGGGCAGGCCAACUUCGUCCGCCGGACUUGGAAUGGCGCGAGACUUUUCGAGGCGCCUCCGUGUGCUAAAAAUAGGCCACGGGCACAGCCGCGACCAAAAAUAACCGCCCGAAGCCCGGGGCGCCAAGUUCGACCAGCGGAAAAAGGCCACAAAAACGGGUGGGCUAUAGCCUUCGGGGGUGGGGCUGGCCAACUUCGUCCGCCGGACUCGGAAUGGCGCGAGACUUUCCGAGGUGCCUCCGUGUGCCAAAAAUAGGCCGCGGGCACAGCUGCGCCCAAAAAUAACCGCCCGAAGGCCGGGGCGGCAAGUUCGUCCAGCGGCAAAAUGCCACAAAAACGGGUGGGCUAUAGCCUUCGGGGGUGGGGUUGGCCAACUUCGUCCGCCGGACUCGGAAUGGCGCGAGACUUUCCGAGGCCCCUCCGUGUGCCAAAAAUAGGCCGCGGGCACAGCUGCGCCCAAAAAUAACCACCCGAAGGCUGGGGCGGCAAGUUCGUCCAGGGGAAAAAGGCCACAAAAACGGGUGGGCUAUAGCCUUCGGGGGUGGGGCUGAACAACUUUGUCCGCCUGACUCGGAAUGGCGCGAGACUUUCCGAGGCCCCUCCGUGUGCCAAAAAUAGGCCGCGGGCACAGCUGCGCCCAAAAAUAACCGCCCGAAGGCCGGGGCGCCAAGUUCGUCCAGCGGAAAAAGGCCACAAAACGGGUGGGCUAUAGCCUUGGGGGGUGGGGCUGGCCCACUUCGUCCGCCGGACUUGGAAUGGCGCAAGACUUUGUGAGGCGCCUCCGUGUGCCAAAAAUAGGCCGCGGGCACAGCCGCGCACAAAAAUAACCGUCCGAAGGCCGGGCCGCCAAGUUCGUCCAGCGGAAAAAGGCCACAAAAACGGGUGGGCUAUAGCCUUGGGGGGUGGGGCUGGCCCACUUCGUCCGCCGGACUCGGAAGGGCGCGAGACUUUGCUAGACGCCUCCGUGUGCAAAAAAUAGGCUUCGGGCACAGCCACGCCCAAAAAUAACUGGCCGAAGGCCGGGGCGCCAAGUUCGUCCAGCGGAAAAAGGCCCAAAAAACGGGUGGGCUAUAGCCUUGGGGGGUGGGGCUGGCCAACUUCGUCCGCCGGACUCGGAAUGGCGCGAGACUUUGCGAGGCGCCUCCGUGUCCCGAAAAUAGGCCGCGGGCACAGCCGCACCCAAAAAUAACCACCCGAAGCCCGGGGCGCCAAGUUCGUCCAGCGGAAAAAGACCACAAAAACGUGUGGGCUAUAUCCUUCGGCGGUGGAGCUGGCGAACUUCGUCCGCCGGACUCGGAAUGGCGCGAGACUUUGCGAGGCACCUGCGUGUGCUAAAAAUAGGCCACGGGCACAGCCGAUCCCAAAAAUAACUGCCCGAAGGCCGGGGAGACAAGUUCGUCCAGCGGAAAAAGGCCACACAAACGGGUGGGUUAUUGCCUUCGGGGGUGCGGCUGGCCAACUUCGUCCGCCGCACUCGGAAUGGCGCGAGAAUUUGCAAGGUGCCUCCGUGUGCCAAAAAUAGGCCGCGGGCACAGCCGUACCCAAAAAUAACCGCCCGAAGGCCGGGGCGCCAAGUUCGUCCAGCGGAAAAUGGCCACAAAAACGGGUCGGCUAUAGCCUUGGGGGGUGGGGCUGGCCAACUUCGUCCGCUGGACUCGGAAUUGUGCGAGACAUUGCGAGGCGCCUACGUGUGCAAAAAAUAGGCCACGGACACAGCCGCGCCCAAAAAUAACUGCCCGAAGGCCGGGGCGCCAAGUUCGUCCAGCGGAAAAAGGCCACAAAAACGGGUCGGCUAUAGCCUUGGGGGGUGGGGCUGGCCAACUUCGUCCGCCGGACUCGGAAUCGCGCGAGACUUUGCGAGGCGCCUUCGUGUGCAAAAAAUAGGCCGCAGGCACAGCCGCGCCCAAAAAUAACUGCCCGAAGGCCGGGGCGCCAAGUUCGUCCAGCGGAAAAAGGCCACAAAAACGGGUGGGCUAUAGCCUUGGGGGGUGGGGCUGGCCCACUUCGUCCGCCGGACUCGGAAUGGCGCGAGACUUUGCGAGGCGCCUCUGUGUGCCAAAAAUAGGCCGCGGGCACAGCCGCGCCCAAAAAUAACCGCCCGAAGGCCGGGGCGCCAAGUUCGUCCAGCGGAAAAAGCCCACAAAAACGGGUGGGCUAUAGCCUUGGGGGGUGGGGCGGGCCCACUUCGUCCGCCGGACUCGGAAUGGCGCGAGACUUUGCGAGGCGCCUUCGUGUGCCAAAAAUAGGCCGCGGGCACAGCCGCGCCUAAAAAUAACCGCCCGAAGGCCGGCGCGCCAAGUUCAUCCAGUGGAAAAAGCCCACAAAAACGGGUGGGCUAUAGCCUUGGGGGGUGGGGCGGGCCGACUUCGUCCGCCGGACUAUGAAUGGCGCGAGACUUUGCGAGGCGCCUCCGUGUGCCAAAAAUAGGCCGCGGGCAAAGCCGCGCCCAAAAAUAACCGCCCGAAGGCCGGGGCGCCAAGUUCGUCUAGCGGAAAAAGCCCACAAAAACGGGUGGGCUAUAGCCUUGGGGGGUGGGGCUGGCCAACUUCGUCCGCCGGACUCGGAAUGCCGCGAGACUUUGCGAGGGGCAUCCGUGUGCAAAAAAUCGGCCGCGGACAAUGCCGCACCCAAAAAUAACCGCCCGAAGGCCGGGCUGCCAAGUUCGUCCAGCGGAAAAAGCCCACAAAAACGGGUGGGCUAUAGCCUUGGGGGGUGGGGCUGGCCCACUUCGUCCGCCGGACUCGGAAUGCCGCGAGACUUUGCGAGGGGCAUCCGUGUGCAAAAAAUCGGCCGCGGACAAAGCCGCACCCAAAAAUAACCGCCCGAAGGCCGGGGCGCCAAGUUCGUCUAGCGGAAAAAUGCUACAAAAACGGGUGGGCUAUAGCCUUGGGGGGUGGGGCUGGCCAGCUUCGUCCGCCGGACUCGGAAUGGCGCGAGACUUUGCGAGGCGCCUCCGUGUGCGAAUAAUAGGCCACGGGCACAGCCACGUCCAAAAAUAACCGCCCGAAGGCCGGGGCGCCAAGGUCGUCCAGCGGAAAAAGGCCACAAAAAUGGGUGGGCUAUAGCCUUGGGGGGUGGGGCUGGCCAACUUCGUCCGCCGGACUCGGAAUGGCGCGAGACUUUGCGAGGCACCUCCGUGUGCGAAUAAUAGGCCACGGGCACAGCCGCGCCCAAAUAUAACCGCCCGAAGGCCGGGGCGCCAUGAUCGUCCUGCGGAAAAAGCCCACAAAAAUGGGUGGGCUAUAGCCUUGGGGGGUGGGCCUGGCCGACUUCGUCCGCCGGACUCGGAAUGGCGCGAGACUUUGCGACGCACCCCCGUGUGCCAAAAAUAGGCCGUGGGCACAGCCACGCCCAAAAAUAACCGCCCGAAGGCCGGGGCGCCAAGUUCGUCCAGCGAAAAAAGGCCACAAAAACGGGUGGGCUACAGCCUUGGGGGGUGGGGCUGGCCAACUUCUUCCGCCGGACUCGGAAUGGCGCGAGACUUUGCGAGGGGACUCCGUGUGCCAAAAAUAGGCCGCGGGCAAAGCCGCGCCCAAAAAUAACAGCCCGAAGGCCGGGGCGCCAAGUUCGUCCAUCGAAAAAAGGCCACAAAAACGGUUGGGCUACAGCCUUGGGGGGUGGGGCUGGCCUACUUCGUCCGCCGGACUCGGAAUGCCGCGAGACUUUGCGAGGGGCCUCCGUGUGCUAAAAAUAGGCUGCGGGCAAAGCCGCGAUAAAAAAUAACCGCCCGAAGGCCGGGGCGCCAAGUUCGUCCAGCGGAAAAAGCCCACAAAAACGGGUGGACUAUAGCCUUGGGGGGUGGGGCUAGCCAACUUCGUCCGCCGGACUCGGAAUGCCGCGAGACUUUUCGAGGGGCCUCCGUCUGCAAAAAAUCGGCCGCGGACAAAGCCGCGCCCAAAAAUAACCGCCCGAAGGCCGGGGCGCCAAGUUCGUCCAGCGGAAAAAGCCCACAAAAACGGGUGGGAUAUAGCCUUGGGGGGUGGGGCUGGCCGACUUCGUCCGCCGGACUCGGAAUGGCGCGAGACUUUGCGAGGCACCUCCGUGUGCCAAAAAAAGGCCGCGGGCACAGCCGCGCCCAAAAAUAACUUCCCGAAGGCCGGGGCGCCAGGUUCGUCCAGCGGAAAAAGCCCACAAAAACGGGUGGGCUAUAGCCUUGGGGGGUGGGGCUGGCCGACUUCGUCCGCCGGACUCGGAAUGGCGCGAGACUUUGCGAGGGGCCUCCGUGUGCCAAAAAUAGGCCGCGGGCAAAACCGCGCCCAAAAAUAACCGCCCGAAGGCCGGGGCGCCAUGUUCGUCCAGCGGAAAAAGGCCACAAAAACGGGUGGGCUAUAGCCUUGGGGGGUAGGGCUGGCCAACUUCGUCCGCCGGACUCGGAAUGCCGCGAGACUUUGCGAGGGGCCUCCGUGUGCCAAAAAUAGGCCGCGGGCAAAGCCGCGCCCUAAAAUAACUGCCCGAAGGCCGGGGCGCCAAGUUCGUCCAGCGGAAAAAGCCAAUAAAAACGGGUGGGCUAUAGUCUUGGGGGGUGGGGCUGGCCGACUUCGUCCGCCGGACUCGGAAUGGCGCGAGACUUUGCGAGGCGCCUUCGUGUGCCAAAAAUAGGCCGCGGGCACAGCCGCGCCUAAAAAUAACCGCCCGAAGGCCGGGGCGCCAAGUUCGUCCAGCGGAAAAAGCCCACAAAAACGGGUGGGCUAUAGCCUUGGGGGGUGGGGCUGGCCCACUUCGUCCGCCGGACUCGGAAUGACGUGAGACUUUGCGAGGCGCCUUCGUGUGCCAAAAAUAGGCCGCGGGCACAGCCGCGCCUAAAAAUAACCUCCCGAAGGCCGGGGCGCCAAGUUCGUCCAGCGGAAAAAGCCCACAAAAACGGGUGGGCUAUAGCUUUGGGGGGUGGGGCGGGCCCACUUCUUCCGCCGGACUCGGAAUGGCGCGAGACUUUGCGAGGGGCCUCCGUGUGCCAAAAAUAGGCCGCGGGCAAAGCCGCGCCCAAAAAUAACCGCCCGAAGGCCGGGGCGCCAAGUUCGUCCAGCGGAAAAAGGCUACAAAAACGGGUGGGCUAUAGCCUUGGGGGGUGGGGCUGGCCAACUUCGUCCGCCGGACUCGGAAUGCCGCGAGACUUUUCGAGGGGCCUCUGUGUGCAAAAAAUCGGCCGCGGACAAAGCCGCGCCCAAAAAUAACCGCCCGAAGGCCGGGGCGCCAAGUUCGUCCAGCGGAAAAAGGCCACAACAACUGGUGGGCUAUAGCCUUGGGGUGUGGGGCUGGCCAACUUCAUCAGCCGGAUUCGGAAAGCCGCAAGACCUUGCGAGGGGCUUCCGUGUGCCAAAAAUCGGCCGCGGGCAAAGCCCCGCCCAAAAAUAACCGCCCGAAGGCCGGGGCGCCAAGUUCGUCCGGCGGAAAAAGGCCACAAAAACGGGUGGGUUAUAGCCUUGGGGGGUGGGGCUGGCCAACUUCGUCCACCGGACUCGGCAUGCCGCGAGACCUUGCGAAGGGCCUCCGUGUGCCAAAAAUAGGCCGCGGGCUAACCGCGCCCAAAAAUAACCGCCCGAAGGCCGGGGCGUCAAGUUCGUCCAGCGGAAAAAGGCCACAAAAACGGGUGGGCUAUAGCCUUGGGGGGUGGGGCUGGCCAACUUCGUCCGCCGGACUCGGAAUGCCGCGAGACUUUGCGAGGGGCCUCCGUGUCCCAAAAAUAGGCCGCGGGAGAAGCCGUACCCAAAAAUAAGCGCCUGAAGGCCGGGUCGCCAUGUUCGUCCAGCGGAAAAAGGCCACAAAAACGGGUGGGCUACAGGCUUGGGGGGUGGGGUUGGCCGACUUCGUCCGCCGGACUCAGAAUGCCGCGAGACUUUGCGACGGCCCUCCGUGCGCCAAAAAUAGGCCGCGGGCAAAACCGCGCCCAAAAAUAACCGCCCAAAGGCCGGGGCGCCAAGUUCGUCCAGCGGAAAAAGGCCACAAAAACGGGUGGGCUAUAGCCUUGGGGGAUUGGGCUGGCCAACUUCGUCCGCCGGAUUCGGAAUGCCGUGAGACUUUGCGAGGGAUCUCCGUGUCCAAUAAAUAAUCCGUGGGCAAAGCCGCGCCUAAAAAUAACCCCCCGAAGGCCGGGGCGCCAAGUUCGUCCAUCGGUAAAAGGCCACAAAAACGGGUGGGCUAUAAUCUUGGGGGGUGGGGCUGGCCCACAUCGUCCGCCGGACUCGCCAUGCCGCGAGACUUUGCGAGGGGCUUCCGUGUGACAAAAAUAGGCCGCGGGCGAAGCCGCGCCCAAAAAUUACUGCCCGAAGGCCGGGGCGCCAAGUUCGUCCAGCGGAAAAAGGCCACAAAAACGGGUGGGCUAUUGCCUUGGGGGGUGGGGCUGGCCGACUUCGUCCGCCGGACUCAGAAUGCCGCGAGACUUUGCGACGGGCCUCCGUGUGCCAAAAAUAGGCCGCGGGCAAAGGCGCGGCCAAAAAUAACAGCCCGAAGGCCGGGGCGCCAAGUUCGUACGGCGAAAAAAGGCCACAAAAACGGGUGGGCUAUAGCCUUGGGGGGUGGGGCUGGCCAUCUUCGUCCGCCGGACUCGGAAUGCCGUGAGACUUUGCGAGGGAUCUCCGUGUGCCAAAAAUAAGCCGCGGGCAAAGCCGCGCCUAGAAAUAACCACCCGAAGGCCGGGGCGCCAAGUUCGUCCAGCGGAAAAAGGCCACAAAAACGGGUGGGCUAUAGCCUUGGGGGGUGGGGCUGGCCCACAUCGUCCGCCGGACUCGGCAUACCGUGAGACUUUGCGAGGGGCCUCCGUGUGCCAAAAAUAGGCCGCGGGCAAACCGCGCCCAAAAAUAACGGCCCGAAGGCCGGGGCGUCAAGUUCGUCCAGCGGCAAAAGGCCACAAAAACGGGUGGGCUGUAGCCUUGGGGGGUGGGGCUGGCCAACUUCGUCCGCCGGACUCAGAAUGCCGCGUGACUUUGCAUGGGGCCUAUGUGUGCCAAAAAUAGGCCGCGGGCAAAGCCGCUCCCAAAAAUAACCCCCCGAAGGCCGGGGCGCCCAGUUCGUCCAGCGGAAAAAGGCCACAAAAACGGGUGGGCUAUAGCCUUGGGGGGUGGGGCUGGCCAACUUCGUCCGCCGGACUCGGAAUGCCGCGAGACUUUGCAAGGGGCCUCCGUGUGCCAAAAAUAGGCCGCGGACAAAGCCGCGCCCAAAAAUUAUCGCCCGAAGGCCGGGGCGCCCAGUUCGUCCAGCGGAAAAAGGCCACAAAAACGGGUGGGCUAUAGCCUUGGGGGGUGGGGCUGGCCGACUUCGUCCGCUGGACUCAGAAUGCNNNNNNNNNNNNNNNNNNNNNNNNNNNNNNNNNNNNNNNNNNNNNNNNNNNNNNNNNNNNNNNNNNNNNNNNNNNNNNNNNNNNNNNNNNNNNNNNNNNNGCGCCAAGUUCGUCCAGCGGAAAAAGGCCACAAAAACGGGUGGGCUAUAGCCUUGGGGGGUGGGGCUGGCCCACAUCGUCCGCCGGACUCGGCAUGCCGCGAGACUUUGCGAGGGGCCGCCGUGUGCCAAAAAUAGGCCGCGGGUAAAAUCGCGCCCAAAAAUAACCGCCCGAAGGCCGGGGCGCCAAGUUCGUCCGGCGGAAAAAGGCCACAAAAACCGGUGGGCUAUAACCUUGGGGGGUGGGGCUGGCCAACUUCGUCCGCCGGACUCGGAAUGCCGCGUGACUUUGCAAGGGAUCUCCGUGUGCCAUAAAUAAUUCGCGGUCAAAGCCGCGCUUAAAAAUAACCACCCGAAGGCCGGGGCGCCAAGUUCGUCCAGCGGAAAAAGGCCACAAAAACGGGUGGGCUAUAGCCUUGGGGGGUGGGGCUGGCCAACUUUGUCCGCCGGACUCGGAAUGCCGCGAGACUUUGCGAGGGGCCUCCGUGUGCAAAAAAUAGACCGCGGGCAAACCGCACCCAAAAAUAACCGCCCGAAGGCCGGGACGUCAAGUUCGUGCAGCGGAAAAAGGCCACAAAAACGGGUGGGCUAUAGCCUUGGGGGGUGGGGCUGGCCAACUUCGUCCGCCGGACUCGGAAUGCCGCGAGACUUUGCGAGGGGCCUCCGUGUCCCAAAAAUAGGCCGCGGGCGAAGCCGCACCCAAAAAUAACCGCCCGAAGGCCGGGUCGCCAUGUUCGUCCAGCGGAAAAAGGCCACAAAAACGGGUGGGCUAUAGACUUGGGGGGUGGGGCGGGCCGACUUCGUCCGCCGGACUCAGAAUGCCGCGAGACUUUGCGACGGGCCUCCGUGUGCCAAAAAUAGGCCGCGGACAAAGGCGCGCCCAAAAAUAACCGCCCGAAGGCCGGGGCGCCAAGUUCGUCCGGCGGAAAACGGCCACAAAAACGGGUGGGCUAUAGCCUUGGGGGGUGGGGCUGGCCAUCUUCGUCCGCCGGACUCAGAAUGCCGCGUGACUUUGUAUGGGGCAUAUGUGUGCCAAAAAUAGGCCGCGGGCAAAGCCGCGCCAAAAAAUAACCGCCCGAAGGCCGGGGCGCCAAGUUCGUCCAGCGGAAAAAGGCCACAAAAACGGAUGGGCUAUAGCCUUGGGGGGUGGGGCUGUCCAACUUCGUCCGCCGGACUCGGAAUGCCGCGAGACUUUGCGAGGGGCCUCCGUGUGCUAAAAAAAUGGCCGCGGACAAAGCCGCGCCCAAAAAUAACAGCCCGAAGGCCGGGGCGCCAUGUUCGUCCAGCGGGAAAAGGCCACAAAAACGGGUGGGCUAUAGCCUUGGGGGGUGGGGCUGGCCGACUUCGUCCGCUGGACUCAGAAUGCCGCGAGACUUUGCAAGGGGCCUCCGUGUGACAAAAAUAGGCCGCGGGCAAAGCCGCGCCAAAAAAUAACCGCCCGAAGUCCGGGGCGCCAUGUUCGUCCAGCGGAAAAAGGCCACAAAAACGGGUGGGCUAUAGCCUUGGGGGGUGGGGCUGGCCAACUUCGUCCGCCGGGCUCGGAAUGCCGGGAGACUUGGCGAGGGGCCUCCGUGUGCAAAAAAUAGGCCGCGGGCAAACCACACCCAAAAAUAACCGCCCGAAGGCCGGGACGUCAAGUUCGUCCAGCGGAAAAAGGCCACAAAAACGGGUGGGCUAUAGCCUUGGGGGGUGGGGCUGGCCAACUUCGUCCGCCGGACUCGGAAUGCCGCAAGACUUUGCGACGGGCCUCCGUGUGCCAAAAAUAGGCCACGGGCAAACCGCGCCCAAAAAUAACCCCCGAAGGCCGGGGCGUCAAGGUCGUCCAGCGGUAAAAGGCCACAAAAACGAGUGGGCUGUAGCCUUGGGGGGUGCGGCUGGCCAACUUCGUCCGCCGGACUCAGAAUGCCGCGUGACUUUGUAUGGGGCAUAUGUGUGCCAAAAAUAGGCCGCGGGCAAAGCCGCGCCCAAAAAUUACCGCCCGAAGGCCGGGUCGCCAUGUUCGUCCAGCGGAAAAAGGCCACAAAAACGGGUGGGCUAUAGCCUUGGGGGGUGCGGCUGGCCCACUUCGUCCGCCGGACUCGGCAUGCCGCGAGACUUUGCGAGGGGCCUCCGUGUGCCAAAAAUAGGCCGCGGGCAAACCGCGCCCAAAAAUUACCGCCCGAAGGCCGGGGCGUCAAGUUCGUCCAGCGGAAAAAGGCCACAAAAACGGGUGGGCUAUAGCCUUGGGGCGUGGGGCUAGCCAACUUCGUCCGCCGGACUCGGAAUGCCGCGAGACUUUGCGAGGGGCCUCCGUGUCCCAAAAAUAGGCCGUGGAUGAAGCCGCACCCAAAAAUAACCGCCCGAAGGCCGGGGCGCCAAGUUCGUCCAGCGGAAAAAAGCCACCAAAACGGGUGGGCUAUAGCCUUGGGGGGUGGGGCUGGCCAACUUCGUCCGCCGGACUCGGAAUGCCGCGAGACUUUGCGAGGGGCCUCCGUGUGCCAAAAAUAGGCCGCAGGCACAGCCGCGCCCAAAAAUAACCGCCCGAAGGCCGGGGUGCCAUGUUCGUCCAGCGGAAAAAGGCCACAAAAACGGGUGGGCUAUAGCCUUGGGGGGUGGGGCUGGCCAUCUUCGUCCGCCGGACUCGGAAUGCCGUGAGACUUUGCGAGGGAUCUCCGUGUGCCAUAAAUAAUCCGCGGGCAAAGCCGCGCCUAAAAAUAACCACCCGAAGGCCGGGGCGCCAAGUUCGUCCAGCGGUAAAAGGCCACAAAAACGGGUGGGCUAUAGCCUUGGGGGGUGGGGCUGGCCAACUUCGUCCGCCGGACUUGGAAUGCCGCGAGACUAUGCGAGGGGCCUCCGUGUGCCAAAAAUAGGCCGCGGGUAAAGCCGCGCCCGAAAAUAACCGCCCGAAGGCCGGGGCGCCAAGUUCGUCCAGCUGAAAAAGGCCACAAAAACAGGUGGGCUAUAGCCUUGGGGGGUGGGGCUGGCCAACUUCGUCCGCCGGACUCGGAAUGGCGCGAGACAUUGCGAGCGGCCUCCGUGCACCAAGAAUAGGCAGCGGGCACAGACGCGCCCAAAAAUAACCGCCCGAAGGCCGGGGCGCCAUGUUCGUCCAGCGGAAAAAGGCCACAAAAACGGGUGGGCUAUAGCCUUGGGGGGUGGGGCUGGCCAACUUCGUCCGCCGGACUCGGAAUGCCGUGAGACUUUGCGAGCGGCCUCCGUGUGCCAAGAAUAGGCCGCGGGCACAGCCACGCCCAAAAAUAACCACCCGAAGGAUGGGGCGCCAAGUUCGUCCAGCAGAAAAAGGCCACAAAAACGGGUGGGCUAUUGCCUUGGGUGGUGGGGCCGGCCCACGUCGUCCGCCGGACUCGGAAUGCCGCGAGACAUUGCGAGGGGCCUCCGUGUGCCAAAAAUAGGCUACGGGUAAAGCCGCGCCCAAAAAUAACCGCCCGAAGGCCGGGGCGCCAAGUUCGUCCAGCUGAAAAAGGCCACGAAAACAGGUGGGCUAUAGCCUUGGGGGGUGGGGCUGGCCCACUUCGUCCGCCGGAGUCGGAAUGCCGCGAGACAUUGCGAGGGGCCUCCGUGUGCCAGAAAUAGGCCGCGGGUAAAGCCGCGCCCAAAAAUAACCGCCCGAAGGCCGGGGCGCCAAGUUCGUCCAGCUGAAAAAGGCCACGAAAACAGGUGGGCUAUAGCCUUGGGGGGUGGGGCUGGCCAACUUCGUCAACCGGACUCGGAAUGGCGCGAGACAUUGCGAGCGGCCUCCGUGCGCCAAGAAUAGGCAGCGGGCACAGACGCGCCCAAAAAUAACCGCCCGAAGGCCGGGGCGCCAAGUUCGUCCAGAGGAAAAAGGCCGCAAAAACGGGUGGGCUAUAGCCUUGGGGGGUGGGGCUGGCCAACUUCGUCCGCCGGACCCGGAACGCCGCGAGAUUUUGCGAGGGGCCUCCGUGUGCGAAAAAUAUGCCGCGGACAAAGCCGCGCCGAAAAAUAACCACCCGAAGGCCGGGGCGCCAAGUUCGUCCAGCGGAAAAAGGCCACAAAACCGGGUGGGCUAUAGCCUUGGGGGGUGGGGCUGGCCAACUUCGUCCGCCGGACUCGGAAUGCCGCGAGACUUUGCGAGGGGCCUCCGUGUGCCAAAAAUAGGCCGCGGGUAAAGCCGCACCGAAAAAUAACCACCCGAAGGCCGGGGCACCAAGUUCGUCCAGCGGAAAAUGGCCACAAAAACGGGUGGGCUAUACCCUUGGGGGGUGGGGCUGGCCAACUUCGUCCGCCGGACUCGGAAUGGCGCGAGACAUUCUGAGGGGCCUCCGUGUGCCAAAAAUAGGAUGCGGGCAAAGCCGUGCCCAAAAAUAACCGACCGAAGGCCGGGGCGCCAAGUUCGUCGAGCGGAAAAAGGCCACAAAAACGGGUGGGCUAUAGCCUUGGGGGGUGGGGCUGGCCAACUUCGUCCGCCGGACUCGGAAUUCCGCGAGACUUUGCGAGCGGCCUCCGUGUGCCAAGAAUAGGCCGCGGGUAAAGCCGCGCCCAAAAAUAACCACCCGAAUGCCGGGGCGCCAAGUUCGUCAAGCGGAAAAAGGCCACAAAAACGGGUGGGCUAUAGCCUUGGGGGGUGGGGCUGGCCCACUUCGUCCGCCGGACUCGGAAUGCCGCGAGACUUUGCGAGGGGCCUCCGUGUGCCAAAAAUAGGCCGCGGGCAAAGCCGCGCCCAAAAAUAACCGCCCGAAGGCCGGGGCGCCAAGUUCGUCCAGCGGAAAAAGGCCACAAAAACGGGUGGGCUAUAGCCUUGGGGGGUGGGGCUGGCCAACUUCGUCCGCCGGACUCGGAAUUCCGUGAGACUUUGCGAGCGGCCUCCGUGUGCCAAGAAUAGGCCGCGGGUAAAGCCGCGCCCAAAAAUAACCACCCGAAUGCCGGGGCGCCAAGUUCGUCAAGCGGAAAAAGGCCACAAAAACGGGUGGGNNNNNNNNNNNNNNNNNNNNNNNNNNNNNNNNNNNNNNNNNNNNNNNNNNNNNNNNNNNNNNNNNNNNNNNNNNNNNNNNNNNNNNNNNNNNNNNNNNNNNNNNNNNNNNNNNNNNNNNNNNNNNNNNNNNNNNNNNNNNNNNNNNNNNNNNNNNNNNNNNNNNNNNNNNNNNNNNNNNNNNNNNNNNNNNNNNNNUGGGGCUGGCCAACUUCGUCCGCCGGACUCGGAAUUCCACGAGACUUUGCGAGCGGCCUCCGUGUGCCAAGAAUAGGCCGCGGCUAAAGCCGCGCCCAAAAAUAACCGCCCGAAGGCCGGGGCGCCAAGUUCGUCAAGCGGAAAAAGACCACAAAAACGGGUGGGCUAUAGCCUUGGGGGGUGGGGCUGGCCAACUUCGUCCGCCGGACUCGGAAUGCCGCGAAACUUUGCGAGGGGCCUCCGUGUGCCAAAAAUAGGACGUGAGUAAAGCCGCGCCCAAAAAUAACCGCCUGAAGGCCGGGGCGCCAAGUUCGUCCAGCUGAAAAAGGCCACAAAAACAGGUGGGCUAUAGCCUUGGGGGGUGGGUUGGCCCACUUCGUCCGCCGGACUCGGAAUGCCGCGACACUUUGGGAGGGGCCUCCGUGUGCGAAAAAUAGGCCGCGGGCAAAGCCGCGCCGAAAAAUAACCACCCGAAGGCCGGGGCGCAAAGUUCGUCCAGCGGAAAAAAGGCCACAAAAACGGGUGGGCUAUAUAGCCUUGGGGGGUGGGGCUGGCCAACUUCGUCCGCCGGACUCGGAAUGCCGCGAGACUUUACGAGGGGCCUCCGUGUGCCAAAAAUAGGCCGUGAGUAAAGCCGCGCCCAAAAAUAACCGCCCGAAGGCCGGGGCGCCAAGUUCGUCCAGCUGAAAAAGGCCACAAAAACAGGUGGGCUAUAGCCUUGGGUGGUGGGGUUGGCCCACUUCGUCCGCCGGACUCGGAAUGCCGCGAGACUUUGCGAGGGGCCUUCGUGUGCGAAAAAUAGGCCGCGGGCAAAGCCGCGCCGAAAAAUAACCACCCGAAGGCCGGGGCGCAAAGUUCGUCCAGCGGAAAAAGGCCACAAAAACGGGUGGGCUAUAUAGCCUUGGGGGGUGGGGCUGGCCCACUUCGUCCGCCGGACUGGGAAUGCCGCGAGACCCUGCGAGGGGCCUCCGUGUCUGAAAAAUAGGCCGCGGGCAAAGCCGCACCCAAAAAUAACCGCCCGAAGGCCGGGGCGCCAAGUUCGUCCAGCGGAAAAAGGCCACAAAAACGGGUGGGCUAUAGCCUUGGGGGGUCGGGCUGGCCAACUUCGUCCGCCGGACUCGGAAUUCCACGAGACUUUGCGAGCGGCCUCCGUGUGCCAAGAAUAGGCCGCGGCUAAAGCCGCGCCCAAAAAUAACCGCCCGAAGGCCGGGGCGCCAAGUUCGUCAAGCGGAAAAAGACCACAAAAACGGGUGGGCUAUAGCCUUGGGGGGUGGGGCUGGCCAACUUCGUCCGCCGGACUCGGAAUGCCGCGAAACUUUGCGAGGGGCCUCCGUGUGCCAAAAAUAGGCCGUGAGUAAAGCCGCGCCCAAAAAUAACCGCCUGAAGGCCGGGGCGCCAAGUUCGUCCAGCUGAAAAAGGCCACAAAAACAGGUGGGCUAUAGCCUUGGGGGGUGGGUUGGCCCACUUCGUCCGCCGGACUCGGAAUGCCGCGACACUUUGGGAGGGGCCUCCGUGUGCGAAAAAUAGGCCGCGGGCAAAGCCGCGCCGAAAAAUAACCACCCGAAGGCCGGGGCGCAAAGUUCGUCCAGCGGAAAAAGGCCACAAAAACGGGUGGGCUAUAUAGCCUUGGAGGGUGGGGCUGGCCAACUUCGUCCGCCGGACUCGGAAUGCCGCGAGACUUUACGAGGGGCCUCCGUGUGCCAAAAAUAGGCCGUGAGUAAAGCCGCGCCCAAAAAUAACCGCCCGAAGGCCGGGGCGCCAAGUUCGUCCAGCUGAAAAAGGCCACAAAAACAGGUGGGCUAUAGCCUUGGGUGGUGGGGUUGGCCCACUUUGUCCGCCGGACUCGGAAUGCCGCGAGACUUUGCGAGGGGCCUUCGUGUGCGAAAAAUAGGCCGCGGGCAAAGCCGCGCCGAAAAAUAACCACCCGAAGGCCGGGGCGCCAAGUUCGUCCAGCAGAAAAUGGCCACAAAAACGGGUGGGCUAUACCCUUGGGGGGUGGGGCUGGCCAACUUCGUACGCCGGAAACGGAAUGCUGCGAGACUUUGCGAGGGGCCUCCGUGUGCCAAAAAUAGGCAGCGGGCUAAGCCGCACCCAAAAAUAACUGCCCGAAGGCGGGGGUGCCAAGUUCGUCCAGCGGAAAAAGACCACAAAAACGGGUGGGCUAUACCCUUGGGGGGUGGGGCUGGCCCACUUCGUCCGCCGGACUCGGAAUGCCGCGAGACUUUGCGAGCGGCCUCCGUGUGCCAAAAAUAGGUCGCGGGCAAAGCCGUACCCAAAAAUAACCGCCCGAAGGCCCGGGCGCCAAGUUCGUCCAGCGGAAAAUGGCCACAAAAACGGGUGGGCUAUAGACUUGGGGGGUGGGGCUGGCCAACUUCGUCCGCCGGACUCGGAAUGCCGCGAGACUUUGCGAGGGUCCUCUGUGUGCCAAAAAUAGGCCGCGGGCAAAGCCGCACCCAAAACUAACCGCCCGAAGGCCGGGGCACCAAGUUCGUCCAGCGGAAAAUGGCCACAAAAACGGGUGGACUAUAGCCUUGGGGGGUGCGGCUGGCCAACUUCGUCCGCCGGACUCGGAGUGCCGCGAGACUUUGCGAGGGGCCUCCGUGUGGCAAAAAUAGGCCGCGGGUAAAGCCGCGCCCAAAAAUAACCGCCCGAAGGCCGGGGCGCCAAGUUCGACCAGCGGAAAAAGGCCACAAAAAAGGGUGGGCUAUUGCCUUGGGGGGUGGGGCCGGCCCACGUCGUCCGCCGGACUCGGAAUGGCGCGACACUUUCCGAGGUGCCUCCGUGUGCCAAAAAUAGGCCGCGGGCAGAGCUGCGCCCAAAAAUAACCGACCGAAGGCCGGGGCGCCAAGUUCGUCCAGCGGAAAAAGGCCAGAAAAACGGGUGGGCUAUAGCCUUGGGGGGUGCGGCUGGCCAACUUCGUCCGCCGGACUCGGAAUGGCGCGAGACAUUGCGAGCGGCCUCCGUGCACCAAGAAUAGGCCGCGGGCACAGACGCGCCCAAAAAUAACCGCCCGAAGGCCGGGGCGCCAAGUUCGACCAGCGGAAAAAGGCCACAAAAAAGGGUGGGCUAUUGCCUUGGGAGGUGGCGCCGGCCAACGUCGUCCGCCGGACUCGGAAUGGCGCGACACUUUCCGAGGCACCUCCGUGUGUCAAAAAUAGGCCGUGGGCAGAGCCGCGCCCAAAAAUAACCGCCCGAAGGCCGGGGCGCCAAGUUCGUCAAGCGGAAAAAGGCCACAAAAACGGGUGGGCUAUAGCCUUGGGGGGUGGGGCUGGCCCACUUCGUCCGCCGGACUCGGAAUGCCGCGAGACUUUGCGAGGGCCCUCCGUGUGCGAAAAAUAGGCCGUGGUCAAAGCCGCGCCGAAAAAUAACCACCCAAAGGCCGGGGCGCCAAGUUCGUCCAGCGGAAAAAGGCCACAAAAACGGGUGGGUUAUAGCCUUGGGUUGUGGGGCUGGCAAACUUCGUCCGCCGGACUCGGAAUGCCGCGAGACUUUGCGAGGGGCCUCCGUGUGCCAAAAAUAGGCCGCGGGCAAAGCCGCGCCCGAAAAUAACCGCCCGAAGGCCGGGGCGCCAAGUUCGUCCAGCGGAAAAAGGCCACAAAAACGGGUGGGCUAUAGCCUUGGGGGGUGGGGCUGGCCAACUUCGUCCGCCGGACUCGGAAUGCCGCGAGACUUUUCGAGGGGCCUCCGUGUGCCAAAAAUAGGCCGAGGGCAAAGCCGCGCCCGAAAAUAACCGGCCGAAGGCCGGGGCGCCAAGUUCGUCCAGCGGAAAAAGGCCACAAAAACGGGUGGGCUAUAGCCUUGGGGAGUGGGGCUGGCCAACUUCGUCCCCCGGACUCGGAAUGCCGCGAGACUUUGAGAGGGGCCUCCAUGUGACAAAAAUCGGCCGCGGGUAAAGCCGCGCCCAAAAAUAACCGCCCGAAGGCCGGGGCGCCAAGUUCGUCCUGCUGAAAAAGGCCACAAAAACAGGUGGGCUAUAGCCUUGGGGGGCGGGGUUGGCCCACUUCGUCCGCCGGACUCGGAAUGCCGCGAGACUUUGCGAGGGGCCUCCGUGUGCCAAAAAUAGGCCGCGGGCAAAGCCGCACCGAAAAAUAACCACCCGAAGGCCGGGGCGCCAAGUUCGUCCAGCGGAAAAUGGCCACAAAAACGGGUGGGCUAUACCCUUGGGGGGUGGGGCUGGCCAACUUCGUCUGCCGGACUCAGAAUGCCAUGAGACUUUCCGAGGGGCCUCCGUGUGCCAAAAAUAGGCCACGGGCUAAGCCGCGCCCAAAAAUAACUGCCCGAAGGCCGGGGCGCCAUGUUCGUCCAGCGGAAAAAGGCCACAAAAACGGGUGGGCUAUAGCCUUGGGUGGUGGGGCUGGCCAACUUCGUCCGCCGGACUCGGAAUGCCGCGAGACUUUGCGAGGGGCCUCCGUGUGCCAAAAAUAGGCCGUGAGUAAAGCCGCGCCCAAAAAUAACCGCCCGAAGGCCGGGGCGCCAAGUUCGUCCAGCUGAAAAACGCCACAAAAGCAGGUGGGCUAUAGCCUUGGGGGGUGGGUUUGGCCCACUUCGUCCGCCGGACUCGGAAUGCCGCGAGACUUUGUGAGGGGCCUCCGUGUGCGAAAAAUAGGCCGCGGGCAAAGCCGCGCCGAAAAAUAACCACCCGAAGGCCGGGGCGCCAAGUUCGUCCAGCGGAAAAAGGCCACAAAAACGGGUGGGCUAUAUAGCCUUGGGGGGUGGGGCUGGCCAACUUCGUCCGCCGGACUCGGAAUGCCGCGAGACUUUGCGAGGGGCC